GCGGGCGUAAUUCAAUGGUAGAAUGGAAGCUUCCCAAGCUUUCUACGAGGGUUCGAUUCCCUUCGCCCGCUCCA
Molecule: transfer RNA, 74 nt
Filed under: Deltaproteobacteria bacterium
Lineage: Bacteria; Pseudomonadati; Myxococcota; Myxococcia
Also listed under: 2 other names
Description: tRNA-Gly
Rfam family: tRNA
About the family: Transfer RNA (tRNA) molecules are approximately 80 nucleotides in length. Their secondary structure includes four short double-helical elements and three loops (D, anti-codon, and T loops).
Source: RNAcentral